AGAGUUUGAUCCUGGCUCAGAUUGAACGCUGGCGGCAGGCUUACACAUGCAAGUCGAGCGGUAACAGGGGGUGCUUGCACCCCGCUGACGAGCGGCGGACGGGUGAGUAAUGCAUAGGAAACUGCCCAGUAGUGGGGGAUAGCCCGGGGAAACCCGGAUUAAUACCGCGUACGCCCUUCGGGGGAAAGCAGGGGAUCUUCGGACCUUGCGCUAUUGGAUGUGCCUAUGUCGGAUUAGCUAGUUGGUGGGGUAAAGGCCUACCAAGGCGACGAUCCGUAGCUGGUCUGAGAGGAUGAUCAGCCACAUCGGGACUGAGACACGGCCCGAACUCCUACGGGAGGCAGCAGUGGGGAAUAUUGGACAAUGGGGGCAACCCUGAUCCAGCCAUGCCGCGUGUGUGAAGAAGGCUUUCGGGUUGUAAAGCACUUUCAGUGAGGAGGAAGGCUUGAAGGUUAAUACCCUUCAGGAUUGACGUUACUCACAGAAGAAGCACCGGCUAACUCCGUGCCAGCAGCCGCGGUAAUA
This 525-nucleotide ribosomal RNA is filed under the name uncultured Marinobacter sp. RNAcentral's name for it is "bacterial SSU rRNA". It matches the Rfam family "Bacterial small subunit ribosomal RNA", at positions 8 to 525 of the family's 1533-position model. The record is from RNAcentral. Lineage: Bacteria; Pseudomonadati; Pseudomonadota; Gammaproteobacteria; Pseudomonadales; Marinobacteraceae.